Molecule: ribosomal RNA, 502 nt
Filed under: Vibrio sp. PASCS13
Lineage: Bacteria; Pseudomonadati; Pseudomonadota; Gammaproteobacteria; Vibrionales; Vibrionaceae
Description: bacterial SSU rRNA
Rfam family: Bacterial small subunit ribosomal RNA
Source: RNAcentral
CUUAGGAAAUUGCCCUGAUGUGAAGGAUAACCCUUGGAAACGAUGGCUAAUACCGCAUGAUGCCUACGGGCCAAAGAGGGGGACCUUCGGGCCUCUCGCGUCAGGAAAUGCCUAGGUGGGAUUAGCUAGUUGGUGAGGUAAGGGCUCACCAAGGCGACGAUCCCUAGCUGGUCUGAGAGGAUGAUCAGCCACACUGGAACUGAGACACGGUCCAGACUCCUACGGGAGGCAGGAGUGGGGAAUAUUGCACAAUGGGCGCAAGCCUGAUGCAGCCAUGCCGCGUGUAUGAAGAAGGCCUUCGGGUUGUAAAGUACUUUCAGUCGUGAGGAAGGCGGUGUCGUUAAUAGCGGCGUCGUUUGACGUUAGCGACAGAAGAAGCACCGGCUAACUCCGUGCCAGCAGGCGCGGUAAUACGGAGGGUGCGAGCGUUAAUCGGAAUUACUGGGCGUAAAGCGCAUGCAGGUGGUUUGUUAAGUCAGAUGUGAAAGCCCGGGGCUCAACC